RNAcentral lists this ribosomal RNA (24 nucleotides) under Fagus sylvatica subsp. sylvatica. RNAcentral describes it as "partial 5.8S ribosomal RNA". Lineage: Eukaryota; Viridiplantae; Streptophyta; Magnoliopsida; Fagales; Fagaceae. The record is from RNAcentral.
AAAACGACACUCGACAACGGAUAU